GGGGCAGAAGGAGGAGCUAUGGGGCUGUGGGGCACAAGAAGGAUCUAUGGGGCACAAGGAGGAGCUAUGGGGCUUGAAGGGAUGCUAUGGGGCACAAAGAGGAGCUAUGGGGCACAAGGAUCUAUGGGGCACAAGACGAGCUAUGGGGCACAGAGGGAUGUUGUGGGGUGCAAGGAGGAGCUAUGGGGCAGAAAGGGAUGGUAUGGGGCACAAGGGGGACCUAUGGGGCACAGAGCAGAGCUAUGGGGCACAGAGCAGAGCUAUGGGGCAGCCGUGGGGUGACACCAUCUCUCCCCCCACCCCCUCAGAUCUGACCGCGGUCUGUCACGGAAACAAGUGCUGGAAGGGCUGCGCGGCGCCCUGCAGCGGCUGCAGAUGGAUUACGUCGAUGUGGUUUUCAUUGGGCCCCGGCCUGGCCCCGCCCACACCGAGGGGCCCGACCCGACCCUGCGCCUCCUGCGGCUCGAAGGUACUGGGGGCCGCAGCCCCGUGUAGCCCCAUAGCCGCCCCAUAGCUGCC
Non-coding RNA from Phasianus colchicus (ring-necked pheasant), 519 nucleotides. The record is from RefSeq and is a predicted model, not a curated record. NCBI's taxonomy places the organism in Eukaryota, Metazoa, Chordata, Aves, Galliformes, Phasianidae.